UCCAGAACAUGGGCUCCACUAAU
This 23-nucleotide unclassified non-coding RNA is filed under the name Mus musculus (house mouse). RNAcentral describes it as "oocyte_clustered_small_RNA12285". Lineage: Eukaryota; Metazoa; Chordata; Mammalia; Rodentia; Muridae. The record is from RNAcentral.